UGAAUGAUUGAUAAAUUGCUGGAUAGAGUAGGUUUUCCCCUCUCGGCACUCUAAAGUUUCUUCAGAAAAAAACCACAUGAUAGUUUUACAUGGUUUUCGUAUACAUAAGUUUUUCUCUUGCUGCCUUUAAAAUUCUCACUUUAACUUUGGCCAUUUUAAUUCUAUGUCUUGGUGUGGGUGUCUUUGCAUUCAUCUUAUUUGAGACUGUACUUUUGUACCUGGAAAUCUGUUUCCUCUUUCAGGUUUGUGAGGUUUUCAGUUUAUAAUAUCAUCCAGUAAAAUUCAAACCCUUCUCUUUUCCUUCUGGGACCCCUAUAAUGCAAAUAAUACAGUUGAAGCUGUUCACAGGUCCCUUAAACUAUUCUUAUUUUUUUAAAUUUGAUUUUCUUUUUGCCGUCUGACAGGGUUGAUUUCCAUUAUUGUCUUCCAGAUUCCUUAUUUGUUCUUCUUUAUCACCUAAUUUGCUGUUAAUUCCUACCGUGUUUUCUUCAUUUCUUCAGCUCUGUUUUUUUUUUUUUUUUAAUAAUUUCUAGUUCUUCAUUGAAAUUCUCAAUUAACAGUGAUGUGUUAAUCUAUUCUUUCCCCAAAUUCAGUUAGCAUACUUAUUGCUUUGAACUACCUAUCAGGUAGAUUAUUUCUCUCUUUCAUUAGGGUUUUUUCCCACAGCCUUUUUCUUAUUCUUUCAUUUGAAAAGUAUUCUUCCAUUUUUUCAUUUUGUUAAGUUUUCAUGUCUCUCUGAAAGUAAGGAUGUCAUUACCUAUCCUCAUCUUGACGGUGUGACCUUGUGUGAGAUCAUCCCUGUGUAGCCUGUAUGUGCCCAGCAGAUGUGCUGGGAGCCUGAUCUAAAGUGAACAUGGGCUGCAUCUUCCCCAUGGGUAUGCUGGCAGCCAUGACCCUAAUGGGAGGUAGGGCUGGAGUUGGAGGGCUAGAGCCAAAGUCAGGUGCAAGCCAGGGUUUCUCUGUCCAUCGUUGUUAAUAGCUGUGUCAGAUAAGGGCUCAGGAGGCCGGAGCAGGAACCCUGAGGGAGUUGGGUUUCUCCUGGUAUCAUGGUAGUUUCCUUGGCUAGGGUUGUGACCAGGGCCUGAGGGCUUGGGGCUGUACGUCUGUUCUGGUUUCACUUUUUCACCCAGUGUGUGUGCCUUGGUUAGAGGCUGGUUUGGGUGCAGAGGAGUUUUGUGCCCACCUCUUAGCUGGCCUGACCCCCUACCCCCUCUUGCCAUGGAUGGCCAUACCCUCGAGCUAGCCUUGCUCCUUCCAAGUGUCUGCAGGGAUACAUGUUUUGAUGGUGGUCGUCUCCACACUCUGGAGCUAGUUUUGCUUCUGAGUGUGUGCACCAAGGCGCCUGGCUGGCAGUGGCUGUCUCCGGCCUGUAAGAGGCAGGGCUGACAUUGAUGAGCUCUGGUUCCUCCAGUGUGCACACUUGUUGGCAACAGCAGGCUUUGCUUUGUGGGCAGUGCUAAGGCAAGAGGGGCUGGAAGAGUGGCCUGGUAUAGGCUAGGGGACAUGCUGGAGGGAUCCUAGCAAGCCAGCCAGGACCCCGUAGGCAGUUUUCAAUCUGCUGCCUUUGUGCUGUGAUGGGAGUAAGCAGUGCUCUUGUGCACAUGCUCUUCAAGAGCAGAGUCUUGGUCUCUUAUACCCCCAUAAGCACCAGUGGUUUUCAGAGCAGCACAGGGGGCUUUUCCCCACAGCUAGAUGCCCAGGAUUGAGGGUCUACCUAAUAGAGGGCCACACUUCUCCCUAGGGAGUUCCCAUUGCUGGUGAUAUCUACCUCCCCUUCUGGGUCCCCCAGCAUCUGUCCAGGUCCUGACCAGAUUGCUUCUCCCUGCCACUCCCCCUCAGACGACAUGUGGGUCUUUCUUUACAACCGUAGUUAUAGAAGGGCUGUUCUCCCAGUGUCCGGGUCAUUUCCAGCAAGAGUUGCUUCCCAUGUAGUUUUUGAUUUGUUUGUGAAAGGAGGGUGGGCUUGCAGCCCUGUCUCACUGUGGCUUUGUUUGCAUUUCCCUGAUGAUUAGUGAUGUUGUCCACACUUUCAUGUACCUGCGGUAAUUUGAAUUCUUUUUGAAGAAAUGGCUAUUCAGGUCUCAGGCCCAUUUUAAUUGGAUUAUUUCACCUGUACUUUUUUUUUUUUUUUUUUGCCAUUGAGUUAUUAGUUCUUUAUGUAUAUUGGAUAUUAACUGCUUAUCAGAUAUAUGGUUUGCAAAUUUUUCUCCCAUUUCAUAUGUUGCAUUUUCAUUUUAUUGUUUCUUUCACUGUGCAGAAGCUUUUUAGUUUGUUGUAGUUCCACUUACUUUUUGCUUUUAUUGUUUGUACUGUAGUUGUCAUAUCCAUUAGGUUAUUAUUGCCAAGACCAAUGUCAAGGAGAUUUCCCCCCUUUGUUUUCUUCUAGGAAUUUUAUGGUUUAAGGUCUUAGAUUUAAGUUUUAGUCCAUUUCAAGUUCACUUUUGAGUGGUGGAAAUAGUUCAUUUUCAUUCUUUAGCCUGUGAAUAUGCAGUAUUUUCAGCGCUAUUGGAGAAAUUUAUCUUUUCUGUAUUUAAUUGACAAUAUAUGUAAUGACUUAUUUCUGGGCUCUUGAUUAUGUUCCAUUGGUCUCUGAGUCUUUGUGCCAGUAUGAUCUUUGGAAUACUAUAGCUUUGUGGUAUAUUUUGAAAUCAGGAAGUAAUGAUACUUCCAGCUUUAUUCUUCUUCCACAGGAUGCUUUGGCUAUUGAGAAUCUUUUGUGGUUCCAGAAGAAUUUUAGGAUUUUCAUUUUCUGCAGAAAAUGCCAUUGAAAUCUUGAUAGAGAUUGCAUUGAAUCUAUAGAUUACUUUGGGUCGUCAGGACAUUUUAACAAUAUUCUUUUAAUCCAUAAACAUAAAUAUCUUUUAUUUAUGUAUGUUAUUUUCAGUUUCUUUCAUAAAGAUAUUGUAGUUUUCAGUGUAUGGAUCUUUUACUUCCUUGUUAAAUUUAUUGCAAAAUAUUUCAUGUUUUUCAUGCUAUUGUAAAUGAGUUUCUUUAAUUUUUGGGAAUUUGUUGUUAAUGACUAGAAAUGCAACUGAUUUUUAUAUGUUGAUUUUAUAUAUAUAUGUCUUGUAACUUUACUGAAUUCACUUAUUUUUGGAUUAUUUAGACUUUCUAAAUAUAAGAUCACGUCAUCUC
RNAcentral lists this long non-coding RNA (3135 nucleotides) under Sus scrofa (pig). RNAcentral describes it as "lncRNA (ENSSSCG00000056019.1)". Lineage: Eukaryota; Metazoa; Chordata; Mammalia; Artiodactyla; Suidae. The record is from RNAcentral.